RNAcentral lists this ribosomal RNA (507 nucleotides) under uncultured bacterium. RNAcentral's name for it is "bacterial SSU rRNA". It matches the Rfam family "Bacterial small subunit ribosomal RNA", at positions 29 to 531 of the family's 1533-position model. The record is from RNAcentral.
AGCGAACGUUUGCGGCGGGCUUAACACAUGCAAGUCGAACGAGAAUCCCUUCGGGGAGGAAAGUGGCGCACGGGUGCGUAACACGUGGAUAACCAACCCAUUGGUUUGGGACAACACCGGGAAACUGGUGCUAAUACCAGAUGUGUCGCAGCUGUCUUCAGGCGGUUGCGAGAAAGGCCCGCAAGGGUCGCCAACGGACGGGUCCGCGUCCCAUCAGCUAGUUGGUGAGGUAAUGGCUCACCAAGGCAAAGACGGGUAGCUGGUCUGAGAGGAUGAUCAGCCACACUGGAACUGAGACACGGUCCAGACUCCUACGGGAGGCAGCAGUGGGGAAUAUUGCGCAAUGGGCGAAAGCCUGACGCAGCCACGCCGUGUGAGCGAUGAAGGUCUUCGGAUCGUAAAGCUCUGUGGGGGGAGAAGAAGAAAGCCGGUGAAGAGCCGGCCCUGACGGUAUCCCCUUAGCAAGCACCGGCUAACUCCGUGCCAGCAGCCGCGGUAAAGUAGUCG